This 253-nucleotide ribosomal RNA is filed under the name uncultured bacterium. RNAcentral's name for it is "partial 16S ribosomal RNA". It matches the Rfam family "Bacterial small subunit ribosomal RNA", at positions 524 to 776 of the family's 1533-position model. The record is from RNAcentral.
UACAGAGGUCUCAAGCGUUGUUCGGAUUCAUUGGGCGUAAAGGGUGCGUAGGCGGCGCGGUAAGUCGGGUGUGAAAUCUCGGGGCUUAACUCCGAAACUGCAUUCGAUACUGCCGUGCUUGAGGACUGGAGAGGAGACUGGAAUUUACGGUGUAGCGGUGAAAUGCGUAGAUAUCGUAAGGAAGACCAGUGGCGAAGGCGGGUCUCUGGACAGUUCCUGACGCUGAGGAGCGAAAGUGUGGGGAGCGAACAGG